Molecule: long non-coding RNA, 817 nt
Organism: Pistacia vera
Lineage: Eukaryota; Viridiplantae; Streptophyta; Magnoliopsida; Sapindales; Anacardiaceae
Exons: 4
Source: RefSeq, a predicted model, not a curated record
CUCACCCUUGAGCACGCCACCUCUCAUCCAUUUUCUCUCAAGCUUCUUCAUCAAAUUUUAAAGAGAAAUCAUAGGGUUUAGCUUAAAUUUUUGUUGAUUUUCAAUCCUAAAGCAUCCAAAGGUCCAAGAGGAAAAGAAUUUUAGCAAAGGAAGCUUGAAUCAUUAGUGUUGUACAAAUUCAAGCUAGUUAUUUUGCAGAUUUAUAGAGCAUAUUUUCAGAGGGCUGUUGCGAUGGGGAGCUGCAUUAGCUAGUGGCGACAGAGAUGCAGAAGUUUUCCACAUGUACACCGCUAUCAAUGAGCAGCCUCAUAAUAGAAAACAGAAUUAGCUAAUGCAGCCUCAUAGUCUGCUAGAAGUGCAUGUGGAUGAGGACUAUACCUAGAAAGAAUUUCAGAAUACGCUCACACGGUAUUAGAUUGUAGUGGUCGGGAGACGUCAAGCUGGCGAAAGGAUUGCGCACACUGUCUUAGUGAAGAAUUUUAAUGUGGAUUGAUAGAUGUGAGAAAUAGUCUUUGUGUAAUAGUAUGUUAUAACUGGAAUAAGGAUAAAAAAUUUAGACAAACCCCCUUUUUAAGCUAGCAAUUCUCUGGAUUCUCUCAAUAAGAUAUUUGGUGAAAACUUGCCUAGUGAGACAUUACACAACCACACCAUCCAACCCUCCAACCCUUCCACCUUCCUGGCAUACUUCCCCUUCAUUGGUGGACUUAAGUAAUAGAAGGUCUAUCACAAUGACCCUACUAUUUAUCCAACUUUCAAUCCAAUAUAGGACUAAACAACAUCUCCCAAUGAGAUUACUUACAAAGAAGUUCCUUGUCAA